GGCGAAGUGGCAGAGUGGGGAGAUGCUACGGUCUGCAACGCCGUCCACGUUGGUUCGAAUCCAACCUUCGCCUCCA
This 76-nucleotide transfer RNA is filed under the name Burkholderiales bacterium. RNAcentral describes it as "tRNA-Cys". It matches the Rfam family "tRNA". From Rfam's summary of the family: Transfer RNA (tRNA) molecules are approximately 80 nucleotides in length. RNAcentral also lists the same sequence under 2 other names. Lineage: Bacteria; Pseudomonadati; Pseudomonadota; Betaproteobacteria; Burkholderiales. The record is from RNAcentral.